UAACACUGAUCCUAAUCCUCUCACUUUAACUGGGUAUAACCACACGAAUCUACUCGGUCUCAAUCUUGUGAUGGAUAAUAUUAAGGAUAUGGUGGAAUGGUUCUUUUAUAUUUGCUCACACUCACAGUGAUGUAUUUUAUGGUGUCAAAGAUUGCAGUUAGUGGUAGUAACAAGCAUUUGAUAAAUGGGAAGCUUGCACAACCUAGUCAAGUCCAGAAUCUUUUCCACUCUGUGCAGCUUAAUAAUGUCAACAAUCCACACUUUCUCAUCAUGCAAGGUAGAAUCACCAAAGUCUUAAACAUGAAACCUCCCGAGAUACUGUGGGUGCUGGAACAAGAAUGUAUGAAAACAAGAAAGAAAGAAUGUUCAACAGUAGAGGAAGAAGAAGAAGAAGAUGAGACAUGGAGGAGCGAGAUAGUAACAAGGGUGAUGAGAAUCGUGAGCAAGAGAUUGAUCUUUUUUACUCUGCUACCUUGAUGGUCUUAAGGUUCGUGUUUCCUUUGGAAGUAGUCUUUAUCAGAUGACAGCAGAGGGCAAAGUAAGUGUUGCUUCUCUUCAAACCGGCGCCUCCUUUAUAUAUUACAUUCACCUCUGCUUUUUCAUUCUCAGAUUGAUUUGUCAAAAGUUGUCGGUAAUGUAUCUUUCGUAAAAAACUGAUCCGUGUUACAAUCAAUGAUUUUGAAUUAUUCAGGUUGAUGCAGCUCUUGAUCCAAGUCACACACACAACAUAGGAAGAAGCUCAUUUCCCUCACUCGCAGGUCAAAAUAUCUAUCUCAAGCUCGGACAGUAACAAAGCCGACCAAGUGAUCGAUCGGCUUCAUACCUCAAUCGAAUCAUAUAUAAUCGAUUAAUAUACAGUAAUUCCAAAAACUAUUCAUCUAUGUGUGGCAUGCUUAAUAUUUUUGACCAUACAUAUAGAAAAAAAAAGAGAAGUAGGAAAAAAGGUCUAAAUAGAAGUAAAAAAGAGUCUAAAAUAACACCAAUAAUCUAUGGCUAAUCCUUAGAUAAUGGUAAUAUGCUUGAACUUGGAUUGGAUUUACUAAGUGCUUCCUCGAUAUCCUCAUGAUAGUCCGGACAGUGGUUGCAUGUGCAUAUGCAGUUCUUGGCUUCCGACGAAGAUCUAUGUUCCUCAAUUAAACCUAGUUUAAAAAUUAGGUAUAGAAGAGCCAAUAGGAUUAAGUAGAAUAUACCGCCGAUCACAAAAAGAGCAACCUCCAGCAAUCCCCACGCCAUUGAAGGAAAUUAUUUAAUGGGAAAAUAAAGAAACGUAAAAUCUUCCAUUAGGCUGUGUAUUAUAUAUAUAUAUAUAUAUAUAUAUAUACUCGAGGAUUCAUUGGGUCAGAGAUUAUUUAGGAUCAGGAUACCUAUGAAUAUUCCACAAGAGUCUUGGAUUAUAUUUAUAUAUAUAAAUUCGUCAUUUAUCUUUAUAAAAUAAAGUAAAAGUUUUUUUUCUCCUAAGGAUAACACAACAAAGAUAUAUACGGUAUUUUCACAUAUGUCACAAGAUAGAUUUUGUAUCCUCUUUCGUGUUUCGAUAUAUCUUCAUAACACAAUACUAAAAAAGAUUUGCAUAUUGAUGGGAUGAACUUAAAGGAUUCUCGGAGAUCGUUAUGCGUAUCGGCUUGGAGAAUCGAAGCAAGGGUGCUCGAAUGAUAUAAGAUUUAUCGAUCAAAGACAAGUCAUACGUUGUGACUAGAUGAUGAAGAAAUAUAGCCAUCCCAAGCCUAGCAAACUCUGCUCCUGCACAUAGUCUUGCACCACCACCAAACGCCAUGAACGUUUUAGAGCCACAAAGCAAUUCCUUCCCCUCCCAUCUCCAUGGAUUAAACUCACAUGGUUGUUCAUAGAUUUGAGGGUCAUAAUGAAGAAGAGAUGGAACAACCAAUACAAUCCAUCCUGCUGGAAUUGUAUACCCUGCAACCACAACACGAUUUUGAAUUAGAUCAUUGGUAACAAACUUAUAGUUAUUUUCAUGACGCAAAAGAGAGACUCAAACUUGCCUUUGAUCUCCACAUCACUCACCACCUUUCUAAACAUAGCAGGUGACAAACUCCCUAAACAAAGAGACUCAUUGAUAACCUGCAAUUGCAACAAUCAACUAAAUGUUUUCAUCACUUAAUCGAUGUGCAACGACAACAAGUUUGGAAUUUCAUUUUUUUAACAAGUAUAUAAUAAGAAAACAAAAAGCUACCAUAUGGGUGAAUUUCAUCAUGGAUCUAUAUUCUUUCCAAGUAACUCCAGAUUCUUUAUCAGCUCUGUUUUGGAGGAUGAUCUAUAGUCAUGUUCGAGUAAGACAUUUAGGACAAUUUACUAAUAUCUAAAGUUUAACUCACAUAAUAGUAAUUAAUAAUUUAGUUUCAAAAAAAAAUUUACAUGAUUUAAGAGUAUUUAGAUAGAAUUGAUAAAUUGAGAUGAGAGUUAGAACAUUAAUACAGAAAAAAUUUGUGGAUUUUUAUUUAAAAUUUAAAUAUCAGGAAAAAAAUUUAAACAAUAAGAUGGAAUAUGUAGAAUUAAAAUUAUUAGCUCUUAUCCGUUAAGAUGGAGUUUAUCGAAGAAUUAAAAUAUUUCUUAUCAUGAAAUAAAUAGUUAAAUUGUAUUAGAUAGAAUUGAUAAAUUGAGAUGAGAGUUAGAACAUUAAUACAGAAAAAAUUUGUGGAUUUUUAUUUAAAAUUUAAAUAUCAGGAAAAAAAUUUAAAAAUAAGAUGGAAUAUGUAGAAUUAAAAUUAUUAGCUCUUAUCCGUUAAGAUGGAGUUUAUCGAAGAAUUAAAAUAUUUCUUAUCAUGAAAUAAAUAGUUAAAUUGUAUUGCAAAAUAGAAUGUGUCAGAUUGAAAUUUGGUUAAAAAAUUAGAUUAAGUAUAAAUAAAUGUAUAAUACUAUUUGUAUUUCAAAUAUUAUCAAAAAAUUAUAUUUAUUUUUUCACAUCCGCCUAUUUAGGCGGGUCUUAUCUAGUUCAAUAUACAUGGAACUGGCAGGAAUAGGUUGCCACAAGUUUGGCGAGAAUUGAGUUGGAGGCUCAUAAGAGUAAAUGGAAGCAAAUUUUGUACAAAUUUAUGGUAGUUUGUUUUAUAAAACACCAUAUUUUAUACAAAUAUUGUCCUUUUGAAUAAUAUUUAGAAUUGGAAGUUAGCUCUUAAUGAAAGCUUGUUUAUGGGAGCUUGUUUGAUAGAUGAUUCGGGAUCACAUAUGGCAAUCUUAUGUGGCUUUAGCCUUUAGGUCCCCAAAGUGGUUACAUAAUUUUUUGAAUCAAUUAUGAAUUUGCCAUUUUUUGAAUAAUCUUUGUUGAGUGUGCCAUUUUUUUGAAUAGUUUGUGGAUUUGCCAUUUUUCAAGCAACAAAAAAAUGAUUUAACAGUUAACAUUAGUAUUACUCUUUAUGUUUGGGUUUAGUCUAUUCUAUUUGUUUUUAGGGUUUAGUAUUUGGUAUAAAGUAUGUAUUUUGCACAAAAAAAGUAGUAAAUACAUAUAUUUGGUAUUUGGUAUAAAGUAUAGCAUUUUCGUAAGAUUUUCUAAAAAAAAAUGUAUUUUUUCUACAAGAAUCCCUAAUUUCUUUUUUUUUUUGGGUUUAUUUGAUCUCUCUUUCAGUGAAUUGGAAGUACACCAUCUUGGACUCGCUUAUUGCAUUAGUAUCUUUCUCUGCCGGCGGAUUGAUUCCGAUGCUCUGUGGCAUGCUUGUGAAACUUCGAAUUCUAAGGAUUGUGUUUCUGGUGAUUUCCUGUGAUUUUGUAAAAAUAACUACAAAACUAAAAAAAAAUUAUUUAUGAGUUAUAAUUUUUUUUGGUUAUUACAAAAAUCACCUUUUUAUUUAUGGGAAUUUGUGUGAAUAAUCCGAAAAAUAACUAAAAAUCUAACCAAUUAACCUAAAUCUAAUGGUCAUGAUUAUGCCACAUAUGCUAAUAUCAGUUAGUUGCUUAAUUAUUAUUACUAGAUUUACUCGUCCGCGCGUUGCGUGGGAUAUCAACUUUAAACUGGCAACAAUACAAAAUGUUAAAAAUAAUUAUAAUCAUUUGAAUUUCAAAACUAUACAUAUUCAUACUUGUUUUACAAAACAGUACACAACAUAAAAAUUAUCAAAAAUAUUUAGUAUAUACCACGUAAUAACAAAAGUAAUAUCAGAUGAAUUGGUCUCGGUAGUCAUCCAUGAACUUUUGUCAAAAAGAGAGUUUAUUCCAUAAUCAAAUCUUGUAAGUAUAUCUAUCUCGAAAUUUUAACAUAAUCAUACCCCAUAAUAAAAGUAAAUUUGCUGAGUUUGAAUAUCAAUUUUAUGAAAAUGUAUAAACGUAAUAUUCAUGCUGCUUCAAUAGAUUUGGAGAGCACAAUUUACCUAUUGAAGCAAGACAAUCAUGCAUUAAGAAAUUUUUUGAUAAAAUCAUGAAUGUCCUUAUCUUAUCUUAUCUAUCCUACAACACUUUAUUACAUGGUUCAAUGAUUUAACUCAAUGUUGAAUAUGAUAGUCUGGUUUACUAAAUCAAACUAUCCGAUAGUGCAUCAAUAUAUCCGAUGAAUUUACUUAAGUCAUGUGCAUACAUAUAUCCGAUGCUUCAAGCAUUAGUCAAUUCCUCUUCAAACAUUUUUUUCUAUCAUUUUUUCGUCAUCUUCUAUGAUGCACUUGUUUGCCUCCCAACAUCUACUCUUCUUUUAUCUUAUAUGCUCAUUUACAUAUAAUAAAACUUUGAAUUCAUUCUUAACUUAAAACUAUUUUCUCAUUUUCUUCUUCUUUUAAUUAUAUAAUUUUCAUGUUUGAGUGUAAUAUACUUUUACGGAAGAUAUAUAUUUAUGAAAAUUGUCUCAACACUUAUUUAAAUUUUUACCUAUAUUUAAAUAUUUUCACUUUUUUUUAUCUAGAAAGAAAACAAUAAUAUAAAUAUAACUAUAUUAUUUUAGUUGUUAUAUAUUUACUAUAAUUUAAUAUUAAGAUACAAUCAAUCUUUCUAUUUUUUCGUCAAUGUGAAUUUAUACUUUUACUUUCUUGAAAUAUAAUUUCCAAUUUUAAAAAUGAAUUAUUUCUUAUAUCUUAAGAAAACUUAUACAAUCAUAAGUUUACUAUAACAUUUAACCAUUUAUUUUUAAUCUAAAAAUAUACUAUUUUAAAUAGAUUUCUUCCACUUCAUUAUCAUCUCUUCAAGUUAAUGUUUCCAACAAAUAUGAAUAUCUUCUUAUUAUUAAAAAAAAACUCUUAUAGUCUUCCAUUUCAAUUCAAUUCAAUUCUUUUGUUCAUCCUAAAUUAUAUUUGAGGUCUCCUUAUUAAUCUCAAAAAAUGAUAGUUUUUAAACGUUUUUUAUUUUUUUAUUUUUAAUAAGUUAUUAUUUUUUGUAAUUGUAUAAUAAAUUUCAUUAAGAAUCAUUUUGCCCUCUUAAAUAACAUUGGUAUUUCUAUGAAAUUUGCAUUAUUAUUUUCUAAUUUCUUAAUUAUAUAUUUAGGGAUUAUGUUCAUUUUAAGUUAUAUAUUAGCAAAAUUUUAAUUUUAAGUGUUUUAUAUGUAUAUAUGUUACACUUGUGUUAUUAUUAUUCAAGUAACCUUUAUUUAAAAUUAUGCAUUAAUUGAAAAUUACUUGUAUAGUAAAUUUCAUUAAGAAUCAUUUUGCCCAUAUUAAAUAACAUUGGUAUUUCUAUGACUUUUCAUUAUUAUUUUUUAUUUUUUAAUUAUAUAUUUAGGGAUUAUGUUCAUUUUAAGUUAUAUAUUAGCAAAAAUUUAAUUUUAAGUGUUUUAUAUGUAUAUAUGUUACACUUGUGUUAUUAUUAUUCAAAUAACAAAUAACCUUUAUUUUAAAUUAUGCAUUAAUUGAAAAUUACUUCUUAGAUAAUUAGAUGUAAUUAACUAUAAAAUUAAAUAUUUUAAAAUAAUUAUUGGUGGGAUCCAUCAUAUUAAUUUGGUGAUGAUGUGGACACCCUAAGAGGAGAGAGAACUCUCAUAUUAUAUAUAUAGAUUGUAUAAUAAAUUUCAUUAAGAAUCAUUUUGCCCUCUUAAAUAACAUUGGUAUUUCUAUGAAAUUUGCAUUAUUAUUUUCUAAUUUCUUAAUUAUAUAUUUAGGGAUUAUGUUCAUUUUAAGUUAUAUAUUAGCAAAAAUUUAAUUUUAAGUGUUUUAUAUGUAUAUAUGUUACACUUGUGUUAUUAUUAUUCAAGUAACCUUUAUUUAAAAUUAUGCAUUAAUUGAAAAUUACUUGUAUAGUAAAUUUCAUUAAGAAUCAUUUUGCCCAUAUUAAAUAACAUUGGUAUUUCUAUGACUUUUCAUUAUUAUUUUUUAUUUGUUAAUUAUAUAUUUAGGGAUUAUGUUCAUUUUAAGUUAUAUAUUAGCAAAAAUUUAAUUUUAAGUGUUUUAUAUGUAUAUAUGUUACACUUGUGUUAUUAUUAUUCAAAUAACAAAUAACCUUUAUUUAAAAUUAUGCAUUAAUUGAAAAUUACUUCUUAGAUAAUUAGAUGUAAUUAACUAUAAAAUUAAAUAUUUUAAAAUAAUUAUUGGUGGGAUCCAUCAUAUUAAUUUGGUGAUGAUGUGGACACCCUAAGAGGAGAGAGAACUCUCCUAUUAUAUAUAUAAAUUUUCUUGGGUUAUUAUAAAAUAACCCUUUAUAUAUUACAUAAUAUAGUUUUUUUUUGUCACCCAAUUAUAUAGCUUUUUACAUAAUAUAAUCGGGCUGAUGAUAUGUGUUAAAAUUUAAAUUUAAUUAAGAAAAAAUAAAAUAAAAAAUGGAAAACUAACUGAAUAAUUAUCAAGUAAGUAACCAAAUAAUAAAAAGGCGAACCUGAUGCCUAAUGUUGUUGUCUACACAUCUCUUCUAAACGGGUAUAUGAUCAAAUGGAUAGAAGAUCUGAAAUGUUUGCUAUAUUCAAUGAGGCUACUGCUGACAACAUAAUGUACAGUGUUAUCAUUAGUGCUUUCCUUAAAGAAGGGCUGACGACAAAAGCAUUUGUGCUUGUAAGCUAAGUAUUUCAAACAUGCCAGGGUCUACUCGCUGUUUUUUUCUAAAAUGGGAGGCAGCUGAGAAGGUUAUGGUUCGACUAAAAUACGUUCCUGAUUCUUCGAGUGUGAAUAAAUGAUCGUUGCAUUUCCUCAAACCAAAUCAUGGAAGCCGAUGCUGCUACAUAAAGAUUUAAGACGGAAAGCCAAAAGCCAAAAGCAGAUAAAUUUCUUUUUCUUUGUGGCUAACAAGGAGACUGCAUGCUGGUUUUUACUUUGGACCUGAAGAUUAUUGUAGAAAGUAAUCGUGUCAAAAGGUAACACUGAUCCUAAUCCUCUCACUUUAACUGGGUAUAACCACACGAAUCUACUCGGUCUCAAUCUUGUGAUGGAUAAUAUUAAGGAUAUGGUGGAAUGGUUCUUUUAUAUUUGCUCACACUCACAGUGAUGUAUUUUAUGGUGUCAAAGAUUGCAGUUAGUGGUAGUAACAAGCAUUUGAUAAAUGGGAAGCUUGCACAACCUAGUCAAGUCCAGAAUCUUUUCCACUCUGUGCAGCUUAAUAAUGUCAACAAUCCACACUUUCUCAUCAUGCAAGGUAGAAUCACCAAAGUCUUAAACAUGAAACCUCCCGAGAUACUGUGGGUGCUGGAACAAGAAUGUAUGAAAACAAGAAAGAAAGAAUGUUCAACAGUAGAGGAAGAAGAAGAAGAAGAUGAGACAUGGAGGAGCGAGAUAGUAACAAGGGUGAUGAGAAUCGUGAGCAAGAGAUUGAUCUUUUUUACUCUGCUACCUUGAUGGUCUUAAGGUUCGUGUUUCCUUUGGAAGUAGUCUUUAUCAGAUGACAGCAGAGGGCAAAGUAAGUGUUGCUUCUCUUCAAACCGGCGCCUCCUUUAUAUAUUACAUUCACCUCUGCUUUUUCAUUCUCAGAUUGAUUUGUCAAAAGUUCUCGGUAAUGUAUCUUUCGUAAAAAAACUGCCUGUUGAGGCUAGUUCUCACCCUGCAAUUAUUGAUCAGGAUAAGGAAAAUAUUUACAGGGAGAAACCAAAGCUGGGGACACAAGCUGACAAGCCAGCUGUUGGCCAUUUGGUGCUGUUAUUAGGAGACUCAAGCAAAGCUGCAGGGAAAAAAGCUGUGGUUAUGAGUGUUGAUAACGAGAAUGGUAAGGUGUCUGAGGCUGAGCCUGAUUCGUCAGACGCUGUUUCAAGUGAGGAAGGUGAGAUAUCUGAGGAUGACAUCUUAUCCGAGGAAGAGCACGAAUACUUGGAAGUAGUUUCAAAGAGAAAUCGGCGAAACUCCAGGGGCUAUGGCCCUAAAACCCAGUAAUGUCUAUGUAUAGAGACAUAUUUUGUUGGAAUGUCUGCGGAUUCAAUAAGCAAUCACACCGGAGCGGAUUUAAAAAAUGGUGUACACGGUAAUAGACCUAUUUUUGGUAGUCUCAUUGAGACACAAGUCAAGCAGGCAAAGAUUGGUAAGUUUGUUAACUCUCUUCUUCCUGGCUGGCAUUUUGAAGAAAACUACUCUUUUUCUGAAUUGGGCAAGAUCUGGAUCCUUUGGCACCCGAGUGUAAAGGUGGCUGUUAUUAGUAAAUCUCUUCAAAUGAUUACCUGCGAGGUCCAGUUUCCAGAAAAUCCUGUGAGUUUUGUUGUGUCUUUUGUCUAUGCGUCUAAUGUGGAAGCAUCGAGAAGGUCACUAUGGGGUGAAAUUGUUUGCCAAGCAUCGAGACAGAGUAUGUCUGGGAAAGCCUGGGCUGUUUUGAGGGACUUCAAUCAAAUCUUAGAACCGGCUGACCAUUCAACUCGUAUUGACAUGAAUAUUGAUAGAGCUAUGAGGGAGUUCAGUGAUUCUUUGUUGCAAGCUUCUCUCAUGGAUCUAGUUUACAGAGGCAGUUCUUUCACCUGGUGGAAUAAGAGAAGAGCCAGUCCUGUCGCAAAAAAGCUUGAUAGAAUCCUAGUAAAUGAUGAGUGGCAGGCACUAUUUCCGCUUUCAACGGGUUUUUUUGGAGCUCCAAUUUUCUCUGAUCAUUCUCCAGGUUCUAUUUCGUUAAAUCCAGCGGAUCCCAGACAGAAAAAAACCUUUUAAAUUCUUCAAUUUUCUGCUUAAAAACCAGAAUUUCCUUCCUCUUACCUGUGAAAGCUGGCAUUCUAUCAAUGUGGUCGGUUCUGAUAUGUACAGAGUUUCUGCAAAGCUCAGGGAUCUAAAGAAGAUCAUUAGGGAUUUCAGCAGAGAAAACUACUCAAAUCUUGAGAAAAGAGUUAAGGAGGCCCUUGAGGUUCUGUCAGCUUCGCAAGUAAGAAUGCUCUCUAGCCCUUCUAUUGUCAACGUAGGCCUUGAAAUUGAAGCUGCUGGGAAGUGGGAUACUCUUUCCAAGGCGGAAAAAAGCUUUUUCUAUCAGACUUCUAGCAUAACUUGGCUAGCAGAGGGGGAUCAAAACAGUUCUUAUUUUCAUCGUAUGGCAGCAACAAGGCAAUCAAUAAACCAUAUCCAUUUCCUUGAUGAUGACGCUGGUAACCGUAUUGCAUCGCAGCAUGGUAUUAAAUCUCAUUGCGUUGAGUUUUUUAUAGAUCUUUUGGGAGGUGAUAUACCGCAUAGUCUGUUUGUUCAGGAAGACAUUAAAGCCAUUCUCAACUUUGAGUGCUCCUAUGUUCAGAGAGUUAGUCUUGAUGCUAUGUUCACCAAGGAGGAGAUAAAGGAUGCUUUUUUCUCACUUCCUAGGAAUAAGUGUUCUGGGCCUGAUGGGUAUUCGGCGGAGUUCUUCAUCAGUUGUUGGAGCGUUGUGGGUGUCGAGGUCACUGCUGCUGUUUCUGAAUUCUUCUCCUCAGGAAAGCUGCUCAAAUAGUGGAACGCAACUUGCCUAGUGCUUAUUCCCAAAAUUCUGAAUGCAUCCAAGGUUUCUGAUUUCAGACCAAUCUCAUGCCUAAACACCAUCUACAAGGUUAUAUCUAAGCUCUUGGCUUUUAGGCUGAAAUCAAUCUUACCUUCGGUAAUAUCCCAUUCACAGUCAGCUUUCAUGCCUGGUAGACUUCUGUCCGAAAAUGUGCUGCUGGCUUCAGAAAUUGUUCAAGGCUAUAAUAGGAGGAACAUUGAACCAAGAGCAAUGCUAAAAAUUGACCUCAGGAAAGCUUUUGACACAGUAAGAUGGGAUUUCGUUUUAUCUACUCUGUCAGCUUUGGGUAUUCCAGAAAAGUUUAUCGGGUGGAUUAGAGAAUGUGUUUGCACCCCAUCCUUCUCCAUUUCAGUAAACGGUUCGUCAGAUGGGUUUUUCAAGAGCACAAAGGGGUUGAGGCAGGGUGAUCCCCUAUCCCCAUACCUCUUUGUUUUGGCAAUGGAGGUCUUCUCUAGACUGCUCCUCUCACGUUUUGAAUCAGGUUACAUCUCUUAUCACCCAAAGACAUCUGCUCUGGAUAUUUCACACUUAAUGUUUGCCGACGAUGUAAUGGUGUUUUUCGAUGGGAGCAGUUCAUCUCUGCAGGGUAUUUAUGAGGUUUUGGAUGACUUUGCUGGGUGGUCUGGGCUUACAAUGAAUAGAGAAAAGACCUUACUUUUCCAUGCAGGACUGUCACCAAGGGCUGAAUAUGAGAUUGCACACUAUGGCUUCCCCUCUGGCACUCUCCCAGUGCGCUAUUUAGGACUGCCUCUAAUGUCAAGGAAGCUUAGAAUAAACGAGUAUUCUCCUCUCUUGGAGAAGAUCACAAACAAGUUUAGGGGCUGGGCAACUAAAUCUCUCUCCUUUGCUGGUAGAACGCAACUACUAAAGUCUGUGAUCUAUGGCACUAUCAACUUUUGGGUUUCCUCUUUCAUGCUUCCAAAAGGAUGUAUCAGGAAAAUUGAAUCACUUUGUUCGAGGUUCCUUUGGUCCGGAAAUAUUGAUAAUCACAGCAGGGCCAAAAUUGCUUGGUCAAAUGUUUGCUUACCAAAAAGCGAAGGUGGCUUGGGAAUAUGCAGACUCUCUGUUUGGAACACUACCUUGUGCCUCAGGCUCAUCUGGCUACUCUUCUCAAACAGCGGUUCCUUAUGGGUCGCCUGGCAACAUCACCACCAUGAGUUAGCAUCUGUUAGUUUCUGGGAUGUUAAGGCAAAAGCAUCUGAUUCCUGGUUAUGGACAAGCCUCCUAAAGCUGAGACACUUGGCAAAACGUUUUAUCAAAUGCAGCAUUGGCAAUGGCACAAAAACAUGGUUCUGGCAUGAAAAUUGGACUCCUUUUGGUCCUCUGUUGGACUAUCUGGGUGAAAAUGGUCCCAUGAACCUGAGAAUACCGCGAAAUGCAAGAGUCUCCGACGCUUGUAAUAUUGAAGGGUGGCGUCUUGCUUCUCCAAGAUCUGAUCAGGCUCUUAGCUUGCAAAUAUACUUGUCAACUAUCCACUUACCAAGCGAUUCACAGGUGAAUGAUCAAUUUGAUUGGUAUGUUGAUGAUAAGCUAUGUCAGGGUUUUUCUUCUAGCAAAACUUGGGAGAUUCUUCGACCUAGAAAGGCAGAGAAAGACUGGGCUGCUUUGGUUUGGUUUAAAGGCUCUACACCAAAGCAGACUUUCCACAUGUGGGUAACAAACCUAAAUAGGCUGCCCACCAGAUCAAGGCUGGCUUCGUGGGGACUGCAAAUCUCCACAGAUUGUUGUCUCUGCGUUGGGUCAGUGGAAACAAGAGACCACCUCUUUCUUCACUGCCCUUUUGCACAGGUUCUCUGGGACUCAGGUUUUGCAAAGCUAAGGCUUCCACCAAUGGUUUUUGCAGACUGGUCCGGGUUAAUGGCAUGCGCAAAAGGGGGAACAAAUGCGACGCCAAAUACGCUUCGGUUACUACUAAUUCAGGCGAUUGUCUACGCUAUAUGGCGACAGAGAAACAAUCUCAUCUACAACCAAAUUGCAAUCCCGCCGCUAAAUAUCUUCAAGGAAAUUGACCGGCUCAUCAUCAAUUCUAUUACAGCCAGGAGAAAGAUAAAGAAUUUCAGGAAGCUCAUGGCCUUAUGGCUCAACUAAGGAUCGGUUUCUUUCCUUAAUUGUUAUUGUGUACUCUUUAAUGUAUCCUUAUUUUUUAACUUUUUUGGCAAGGUUCAUGCUUCUAGGUCUUAUAUAUUGUAAGACCAAAACUUUCAUCUAUUGAUAUUUACUCUCUUAGCAAAAAAAAAAAAAAAAAACUGAUCCGUGUUACAAUCAAUGAUUUUGAAUUAUUCAGGUUGAUGCAGCUCUUGAUCCAAGUCACACACACAACAUAGGAAGAAGCUCAUUUCCCUCACUCGCAGGUCAAAAUAUCACACACACAACUAUUCAUCUAUGUGUGGCAAGCUUAAUAUUUUUGACCAUACAUAUAGAUAUAUUUUUUCAUAAAAAAAAAGGUCUAAAUAGAAGUAAAAAGAGUCUAAAAUAACACCAAUCUAUUUUUUUUUUGGUGCAAAAAAUAACACCAAUAAUCUAUGGCUAAUCCUUAGAUAAUGGUAAUAUGCUUGAACUUGGAUUGGAUUUACUAAGUGCUUCCUCGAUAUCCUCAUGAUAGUCCGGACAGUGGUUGCAUGUGCAUAUGCAGUUCUUGGCUUCCGACGAAGAUCUAUGUUCCUCAAUUAAACCUAGUUUAAAAAUUAGGUAUAGAAGAGCCAAUAGGAUUAAGUAGAAUAUACCGCCGAUCACAAAAAGAGCAACCUCCAGCAAUCCCCACGCCAUUGAAGGAAAUUAUUUAAUGGGAAAAUAAAGAAACGUAAAAUCUUCCAUUAGGCUGUGUAUUAUAUAUAUAUAUACUCGAGGAUUCAUUGGGUCAGAGAUUAUUUAGGAUCAGGAUACCUAUGAAUAUUCCACAAGAGUCUUGGAUUAUAUUUAUAUAUAUAAAUUCGUCAUUUAUCUUUAUAAAAUAAAGUAAAAGUUUUUUUUCUCCUAAGGAUAACACAACAAAGAUAUAUACGGUAUUUUCACAUAUGUCACAAGAUAGAUUUUGUAUCCUCUUUCGUGUUUCGAUAUAUCUUCAUAACACAAUACUAAAAAAGAUUUGCAUAUUGAUGGGAUGAACUUAAAGGAUUCUCGGAGAUCGUUAUGCGUAUCGGCUUGGAGAAUCGAAGCAAGGGUGCUCGAAUGAUAUAAGAUUUAUCGAUCAAAGACAAGUCAUACGUUGUGACUAGAUGAUGAAGAAAUAUAGCCAUCCCAAGCCUAGCAAACUCUGCUCCUGCACAUAGUCUUGCACCACCACCAAACGCCAUGAACGUUUUAGAGCCACAAAGCAAUUCCUUCCCCUCCCAUCUCCAUGGAUUAAACUCACAUGGUUGUUCAUAGAUUUGAGGGUCAUAAUGAAGAAGAGAUGGAACAACCAAUACAAUCCAUCCUGCUGGAAUUGUAUACCCUGCAACCACAAGACGAUUUUCAUUGGUAACAAACUUAUAGUUAUUUUCAUGACGCAAAAGAGAGACUCAAACUUGCCUUUGAUCUCCACAUCACUCACCACCUUUCUAAACAUAGCAGGUGACAAACUCCCUAAACGAAGAGACUCAUUGAUAACCUGCAAUUGCAACAAUCAACUAAAUGUUUUCAUCACUUAAUCGAUGUGCAACGAGUUUGGAAUUUCAUUUUUUUAACAAGUAUAUAAUAAGAAAACAAAAAGCUACCAUAUGGGUGAAAUUCAUCAUGGAUCUAUAUUCUUUCCAAGUAACUCCAGAUUCUUUAUCAGCUCUGUUUUGGAGGAUGAUCUAUAGUCAUGUUCGAGUAAGACAUUUAGGACAAUUUACUAAUAUCUAAAGUUUAACUCACAUAAUAGUAAUUAAUAAUUUAGUUUCGAAAAAAAAUUUACAUGAUUUAAGAGUAUUUAGAUAGAAUUGAUAAAUUGAGAUGAGAGUUAGAACAUUAAUACAGAAAAAAUUUGUGGAUUUUUAUUUAAAAUUUAAAUAUCAGGAAAAAAAUUUAAACAAUAAGAUGGAAUAUGUAGAAUUAAAAUUAUUAGCUCUUAUCCGUUAAGAUGGAGUUUAUCGAAGAAUUAAAAUAUUUCUUAUCAUGAAAUAAAUAGUUAAAUUGUAUUGCAAAAUAGAAUGUGUCAGAUUGAAAUUUGGUUAAAAAAUUAGAUUAAGUAUAAAUAAAUGUAUAAUACUAUUUGUAUUUCAAAUAUUAUCAAAAAAUUAUAUUUAUUUUUUCACAUCCGCCUAUUUAGGCGGGUCUUAUCUAGUUCAAUAUACAUGGAACUGGCAGGAAUAGGUUGCCACAAGUUUGGCGAGAAUUGAGUUGGAGGCUCAUAAGAGUAAAUGGAAGCAAAUUUUGUACAAAUUUAUGGUAGUUUGUUUUAUAAAACACCAUAUUUUAUACAAAUAUUGUCCUUUUGAAUAAUAUUUAGAAUUGGAAGUUAGCUCUUAAUGAAAGAUCAGUGAAUAUGGGAGCUUGUUUGAUAGAUGAUUCGGGAUCACAUAUGGCAAUCUUAUGUGGCUUUAGCCUUUAGGUCUCCAAAAAGUGUAGCGGUUCACAAUGCUCAAGAGGUUGCAAGGAUUGUGGUAAGUUUAAAUUAGUUAUCAUCAGCAAAUGCUCACAUGAUAAAAGAAAUAGUCUGAUUUAUGUUGACUUACUUACUAUGCUAUGCAUCUAGGUCAGACCAGUGGCUUGGCUUUCCUUGAUAUUAUAUCCUGUUGGAAGAGUAGUGACAUAUCUUUCGAUGGGAAUUCUGAAAAUUCUUUGUUUGAAAGGACGGAGGUAUGUAUCAAAUAAGAGUUGUCUGUCCAAAUCAAAAUAUAUUAGUGUGCUUUUUUCCUUGUUGAAAGAGAGUUAGGGCAACUUACCUAUAGUCUAUUUUUCUUUUUGUGCCAGUGAGCCAUAUGUUACUGAAGAUGAAUUGAAACUAAUGCUACGCGGAGCAGAAUUAAGUGGGGCUAUAGAAGAGGAAGAGCAGGUAUGAGUUUGUUAUAUAUGGAUUUUGGAUGAGUCUUUGGACUCUUUACCAUAGACUUGUGAUAAUUCAAAUGAUACAUGUUGCAGGAUAUGAUUGAAAAUGUGUUAGAGAUAAAGGAUACGCAUGUUCGAGAGGUGAUGACUCCUCUUGUUGAUGUAGUUGCAAUAGAUGGCAGCGGCAGCCUGGUUGAUUUCCAUAACUUUUGGGUGACCCACCAGUACUCGAGGUCUAUAAAUUGUCACUGCUUUAGUGAACCUUUUUCGUCCCUUAGGAUUAUUCAUUAUGCUCAAAAAAUUUCUUCACAGGGUGCCUGUUUUUGAGCAGAGGAUUGAUAACAUAGUUGGUAUUGCAUAUGCUAUGGAUCUGCUAGAUUAUGUUCCAAAGGUCUGGCUGCCUCAUUCUCUGUUUCUUGUAUUUGUUUUCUUUUCACUGAUGGCGUUCGAGGAGACCAUAGUUGUGCACUUAUGUAGAAUGAAUUUUAUAUGUUUUCUUCUGUUUUGUAGGGUAACUUGCUUGAAAGUACUACUGUGGUGGACAUGGCACAUAAACCUGCAUUCUUUGUCCCUGGUAAUCAUCGAUGCAUUCAAUCUUUUAAUUUAAUACCUAAACCUUUGACAUUUUUUGUUCACAUGGAAUAAACUUUGAUGCUCUGUCAAAUAAUUUGCAGAUUCAAUGUCAGUUUGGAAUGUUCUUAGAGAGUUUAGAAUAAGAAAGGUUCACAUGGCAGUUGUUCUUAAUGAAUACGGUGGAACCAUUGGAGUAUGUUGCUGGUUGUCCUCUUCUUAACUUUAUUUUUUCUCUCCUGCUCUCUUGAAAGGUUGUCUAAUUUCUCUCCAUGCAGAUAAUAACUCUUGAAGAUGUGGUCGAACAGAUUGUUGGUGAAAUAUUUGAUGAAAACGAUUCAAAGGUAAGUUCAUCCUAGUGUUUCAGCUUGUUGCUAUUCUUCAAGGUUGGGUUGAAUAGGAGGAGAUUCAGAACAAAACGGGUUAUAUAUGAGAGCGGAGUAGAUUUAAAUUUCUCACUGCCAUUGUUUUGGGCUCAAUAGGAGGAGAUUCAGAAGAAAACGGGUUACAUCGUGAUGAGAGCAGAAGGGAUAUAUGAUGUUGAUGCCAACACUUCGAUUGACCAGUUAUCUGAAGAACUUAACAUAAAGAUGUUAGAGGUAAUAUACUCUGUUGCUGUGUCUUUAGUGUGUCCCUCUAGAAAGCAGAACCGAUCUUUAAGAUUACUUGUUGGCAGAGUAUAAACUAUCCUUGUUCCCCUUUUUGCAAGGCCAUCAGUAUGAGACAGUCUCAGGUUUUGUCUGUGAGGCCUUUGGGUAUAUCCCAAAGACAUGUGAGAGUGUGACGGUAGUUCUUGAAAAGGAAAACUGGGAAGAGAAUGAUGAACAAGAUGAGGGUAAACACGAGAGUCAAGAUCAGAAGGAAAAGCACCAAGUUUAUAGACUAGAGGUACAUCGACUCAUAGUACUACUUCCCCUUGCACCACAUUCUGCAAAAUGCAUAAUUUAUUCUCUAACUACAUUUGUUGAUAGAUACUAGCAGGGAAUGCCAGAAAAGUGAGUACAGUCCGGUUCGAACGAGUUAAUAAUAUGGAUGAAGUGUCAGAGGCGCGAGAUGUAAAAAACAUGGUUCCCAAGUUCGUAAGAAAAUGGAGCAGUGAGGAAGAUACCGAUGGUAAUCUCCAAGCCAAGAAUGCCGUCUUUGAUGAGCAUCUAAUUGCUGAAACUGAAAGUAUGAAGAAAGAAUAAUGAUAAAAGAGGAGGAGACAGAGGAUGAAAUAAAGGAUGAACAAUACUGUUGUAAGUUUUUUAACUGAAAGAGGAUUAGUUGCUUCUUACAUUCAUCUCUUGUUUACCAAUAGUGAGAUAUAUCUUCAUAACACAAUACAAAAAAGAUUUGCAUAUUGAUGGGAUGAACUUAAAGGAUUCUCGGAGAUCGUUAUGCGUAUCGGCUUGGAGAAUUGAAGCAAGGGUGCUCGAAUGAUAUAAGAUUUAUCGAUCAAAGACAAGUCAUACGUUGUGACUAGAUGAUGAAGAAAUAUAGCCAUCUGAAGCCUAGCAAACUCUGCUCCUGCAAAUAGUCUUGCACCACCACCAAACGCCAUGAACGUUUUAGAGCCACAAAGCAAUUCCUUACCCUCCCAUCUCCAUGGAUUAAACUCACAUGGUUGUUCAUAGAUUUGAGGGUCAUAAUGAAGAAGAAAAUGGAACAACCAAUACAAUCCAUCCUGCUGGAAUUGUAUACCCUGCAACCACAACACGAUUUUGAAUUGGAUCAUUGGUAACAAACUUAUAGUUAUUUUCAUGACGCAAAAGAGAGACUCAAACUUGCCUUUGAUCUCCACAUCACUCACCACCUUUCUAAACAUAGCAGGUGACAAACUCCCUAAACGAAGAGACUCAUUGAUAACCUGCAAUUGCAACAAUCAACUAAAUGUUUUCAUCACUUAAUCGAUGUGCAACGAGUUUGGAAUUUCAUUUUUUUAACAAGUAUAUAAUAAGAAAACAAAAAGCUACCAUAUGGGUGAAAUUCAUCAUGGAUCUAUAUUCUUUCCAAGUAACUCCAGAUUCUUUAUCAGCUCUGUUUUGGAGGAUGAUCUAUAGUCAUGUUCGAGUAAGACAUUUAGGACAAUUUACUAAUAUCUAAAGUUUAACUCACAUAAUAGUAAUUAAUAAUUUAGUUUAAAAAAAAAUUUACAUGAUUUAAGAGUAUUUAGAUAGAAUUGAUAAAUUGAGAUGAGAGUUAGAACAUUAAUACAGAAAAAAUUUGUGGAUUUUUAUUUAAAAUUUAAAUAUCAGGAAAAAAAUUUAAACAAUAAGAUGGAAUAUGUAGAAUUAAAAUUAUUAGCUCUUAUCCGUUAAGAUGGAGUUUAUCGAAGAAUUAAAAUAUUUCUUAUCAUGAAAUAAAUAGUUAAAUUGUAUUGCAAAAUAGAAUGUGUCAGAUUGAAAUUUGGUUAAAAAUUUAGAUUAAGUAUAAAUAAAUGUAUAAUACUAUUUGUAUUUCAAAUAUUAUCAAAAAAUUAUAUUUAUUUUUUCACAUUCGCCUAUUUAGGCGGGUCUUAUCUAGUUCAAUAUACAUGGAACUGGCAGGAAUAGGUUGCCACAAGUUUGGCGAGAAUUGAGUUGGAGGCUCAUAAGAGUAAAUGGAAGCAAAUUUUGUACAAAUUUAUGGUAGUUUGUUUUAUAAAACACCAUAUUUUAUACAAAUAUUAUCCUUUUGAAUAAUAUUUAGAAUUGGAAGUUAGCUCUUAAUGAAAGAUCAGUGAAUAUGAGAGCUUGUUUGAUAGAUGAUUCGGGAUCACAUAUGGCAAUCUUAUGUGGCUUUAGCCUUUAGGUCCCCAAAGUGGUUACAUAAUUUUUUGAAUCAAUUAUGAAUUUGCCAUUUUUUGAAUAAUCUUUGUUGAGUGUGCCAUUUUUUUGAAUAGUUUGUGGAUUUGCCAUUUUUCAAGCAACAAAAAAAUGAUUUAACAGUUAACAUUAGUAUUACUCUUUAUGUUUGGGUUUAGUCUAUUCUAUUUGUUUUUAGGGUUUAGUAUUUGGUAUAAAGUAUGUAUUUUGCACAAAAAAAGUAGUAAAUACAUAUAUUUGGUAUUUGGUAUAAAGUAUAGCAUUUUCGUAAGAUUUUCUAAAAAAAAUGUAUUUUUUCUACAAGAAUCCCUAAUUUCUUUUUUUUUUGGAAUGUAGGCAUGUAGCAUUACAUAAGGGGUUAGUUCUUGUUUAUACCACUGUAUUGUUGAACCCUUUGUCGUCCAAACAAGACACGCAUUGGUGAGAGCUUCACAUUUGCCGUUGUCGGUUGUUAUUGUUGGUUUGGGAAACAGAGACUUCACACAAAUCCAGGAGGUACACAUUUUUUUUUUUAGUUUUUCUUCUUUUUUUGGGUUUAUUUGAUCUCUCUUUCAGUGAAUUGGAAGUACACCAUCUUGGACUCGCUUAUUGCAUUAGUAUCUUUCUCUGCCGGCGGAUUGAUUCCGAUGCUCUGUGGCAUGCUUGUGAAACCUCGAAUUCUAAGGAUUGUGUUUCUGGUGAUUUCCUGUGAUUUUGUAAAAAUAACUACAAAACUAAAAAAAAAUUAUUUAUGAGUUAUAAUUUUUUUUGGUUAUUACAAAAAUCACCUUUUUAUUUAUGGGAAUUUGUGUGAAUAAUCCGAAAAAUAACUAAAAAUCUAACCAAUUAACCUAAAUCUAAUGGUCAUGAUUAUGCCACAUAUGCUAAUAUCAGUUAGUUGCUUAAUUAUUAUUACUAGAUUUACUCGUCCGCGCGUUGCGUGGGAUAUCAACUUUAAACUGGCAACAAUACAAAAUGUUAAAAAUAAUUAUAAUCAUUUGAAUUUCAAAACUAUACAUAUUCAUACUUGUUUUACAAAACAGUACACAACAUAAAAAUUAUCAAAAAUAUUUAGUAUAUACCACGUAAUAACAAAAGUAAUAUUAGAUGAAUUGGUCUCGGUAGUCAUCCAUGAACUUUUGUCAAAAAGAGAGUUUAUUCCAUAAUCAAAUCUUGUAAGUAUAUCUAUCUCGAAAUUUUAACAUAAUCAUACCCCAUAAUAAAAGUAAAUUUGCUGAGUUUGAAUAUCAAUUUCAUGAAAAUGUAUAAACGUAAUAUUCAUGCUGCUUCAAUAGAUUUGGAGAGCACAAUUUACCUAUUGAAGCAAGACAAUCAUGCAUUAAGAGAUUUUUUGAUAAAAUCAUGAAUGUCCUUAUCUUAUCUUAUCUAUCCUACAACACUUUAUUACAUGGUUCAAUGAUUUAACUCAAUGUUGAAUAUGAUAGUCUGGUUUACUAAAUCAAACUAUCCGAUAGUGCAUCAAUAUAUCCGAUGAAUUUACUUAAGUCAUGUGCAUACAUAUAUCCGAUGCUUCAAGCAUUAGUCAAUUCCUCUUCAAACAUUUUUUUCUAUCAUUUUUUCGUCAUCUUCUAUGAUGCACUUGUUUGCCUCCCAACAUCUACUCUUCUUUUAUCUUAUAUGCUCAUUUACAUAUAAUAAAACUUUGAAUUCAUUCUUAACUUAAAACUAUUUUCUCAUUUUCUUCUUCUUUUAAUUAUAUAAUUUUCAUGUUUGAGUGUAAUAUACUUUUACGGAAGAUAUAUAUUUAUGAAAAUUGUCUCAACACUUAUUUAAAUUUUUACCUAUAUUUAAAUAUUUUCACUUUUUUUUAUCUAGAAAGAAAACAAUAAUAUAAAUAUAACUAUAUUAUUUUAGUUGUUAUAUAUUUACUAUAAUUUAAUAUUAAGAUACAAUCAAUCUUUCUAUUUUUUCGUCAAUGUGAAUUUAUACUUUUACUUUCUUGAAAUAUAAUUUCCAAUUUUAAAAAUGAAUUAUUUCUUAUAUCUUAAGAAAACUUAUACAAUCAUAAGUUUACUAUAACAUUUAACCAUUUAUUUUUAAUCUAAAAAUAUACUAUUUUAAAUAGAUUUCUUCCACUUCAUUAUCAUCUCUUCAAGUUAAUGUUUCCAACAAAUAUGAAUAUCUUCUUAUUAUUAAAAAAAAACUCUUAUAGUCUUCCAUUUCAAUUCAAUUCAAUUCUUUUGUUCAUCCUAAAUUAUAUUUGAGGUCUCCUUAUUAAUCUCAAAAAAAAUGAUUGUUUUUAAACGUUUUUUAUUUUUUUAUUUUUAAUAAGUUAUUAUUUUUUGUAAUUGUAUAAUAAAUUUCAUUAAGAAUCAUUUUGCCCUCUUAAAUAACAUUGGUAUUUCUAUGAAAUUUGCAUUAUUAUUUUCUAAUUUCUUAAUUAUAUAUUUAGGGAUUAUGUUCAUUUUAAGUUAUAUAUUAGCAAAAAUUUAAUUUUAAGUGUUUUAUAUGUAUAUAUGUUACACUUGUGUUAUUAUUAUUCAAGUAACCUUUAUUUAAAAUUAUGCAUUAAUUGAAAAUUACUUGUAUAGUAAAUUUCAUUAAGAAUCAUUUUGCCCAUAUUAAAUAACAUUGGUAUUUCUAUGACUUUUCAUUAUUAUUUUUUAUUUGUUAAUUAUAUAUUUAGGGAUUAUGUUCAUUUUAAGUUAUAUAUUAGCAAAAAUUUAAUUUUAAGUGUUUUAUAUGUAUAUAUGUUACACUUGUGUUAUUAUUAUUCAAAUAACAAAUAACCUUUAUUUAAAAUUAUGCAUUAAUUGAAAAUUACUUCUUAGAUAAUUAGAUGUAAUUAACUAUAAAAUUAAAUAUUUUAAAAUAAUUAUUGGUGGGAUCCAUCAUAUUAAUUUGGUGAUGAUGUGGACACCCUAAGAGGAGAGAGAACUCUCCUAUUAUAUAUAUAAAUUUUCUUGGGUUAUUAUAAAAUAACCCUUUAUAUAUUACAUAAUAUAGUUUUUUUUUGUCACCCAAUUAUAUAGCUUUUUACAUAAUAUAAUCGGGCUGAUGAUAUGUGUUAAAAUUUAAAUUUAAUUAAGAAAAAAUAAAAUCAAAAAUGGAAAACUAACUGAAUAAUUAUCAAGUAAGUAACCAAAUAUAAAAAGGCGAACCUGAUGCCUAAUGUUGUUGUCUACACAUCUCUUCUAAACGGGUAUAUGAUCAAAUGGAUAGAAGAUCUGAAAUGUUUGCUAUAUGCUGCAGGAAUUGAAGCUGACAACAUAAUGUACAGUGUUAUCAUUAGUGCUUUCCUUAAAGAAGGGCUGACGACAAAAGCAUUUGUGCUUGUAAGCUAAGUAUUUCAAACAUGCCAGGGUCUACUCGCUGUUUUUUUCUAAAAUGGGAGGCAGCUGAGAAGGUUAUGGUUCGACUAAAAUACGUUCCUGAUUCUUCGAGUGUGAAUAAAUGAUCGUUGCAUUUCCUCAAACCAAAUCAUGGAAGCCGAUGCUGCUACAUAAAGAUUUAAGACGGAAAGCCAAAAGCCAAAAGCAGAUAAAUUUCUUUUUCUUUGUGGCUAACAAGGAGACUGCAUGCUGGUUUUUACUUUGGACCUGAAGAUUAUUGUAGAAAGUAAUCGUGUCAAAAGGUAACACUGAUCCUAAUCCUCUCACUUUAACUGGGUAUAACCACACGAAUCUACUCGGUCUCAAUCUUGUGAUGGAUAAUAUUAAGGCUAUGGUGGAAUGGUUCUUUUAUAUUUGCUCACACUCACAGUGAUGUAUUUUAUGGUGUCAAAGAUUGCAGUUAGUGGUAGUAACAAGCAUUUGAUAAAUGGGAAGCUUGCACAACCUAGUCAAGUCCAGAAUCUUUUCCACUCUGUGCAGCUUAAUAAUGUCAACAAUCCACACUUUCUCAUCAUGCAAGGUAGAAUCACCAAAGUCUUAAACAUGAAACCUCCCGAGAUACUGUGGGUGCUGGAACAAGAAUGUAUGAAAACAAGAAAGAAAGAAUGUUCAACAGUAGAGGAAGAAGAAGAAGAAGAUGAGACAUGGAGGAGCGAGAUAGUAACAAGGGUGAUGAGAAUCGUGAGCAAGAGAUUGAUCUUUUUUACUCUGCUACCUUGAUGGUCUUAAGGUUCGUGUUUCCUUUGGAAGUAGUCUUUAUCAGAUGACAGCAGAGGGCAAAGUAAGUGUUGCUUCUCUUCAAACCGGCGCCUCCUUUAUAUAUUACAUUCACCUCUGCUUUUUCAUUCUCAGAUUGAUUUGUCAAAAGUUGUCGGUAAUGUAUCUUUCGUAAAAAACUGAUCCGUGUUACAAUCAAUGAUUUUGAAUUAUUCAGGUUGAUGCAGCUCUUGAUCCAAGUCACACACACAACAUAGGAAGAAGCUCAUUUCCCUCACUCGCAGGUCAAAAUAUCACACACACAACUAUUCAUCUAUGUGUGGCAAGCUUAAUAUUUUUGACCAUACAUAUAGAUAUAUUUUUUCAUAAAAAAAAAGGUCUAAAUAGAAGUAAAAAGAGUCUAAAAUAACACCAAUCUAUUUUUUUUUUGGUGCAAAAAAUAACACCAAUAAUCUAUGGCUAAUCCUUAGAUAAUGGUAAUAUGCUUGAACUUGGAUUGGAUUUACUAAGUGCUUCCUCGAUAUCCUCAUGAUAGUCCGGACAGUGGUUGCAUGUGCAUAUGCAGUUCUUGGCUUCCGACGAAGAUCUAUGUUCCUCAAUUAAACCUAGUUUAAAAAUUAGGUAUAGAAGAGCCAAUAGGAUUAAGUAGAAUAUACCGCCGAUCACAAAAAGAGCAACCUCCAGCAAUCCCCACGCCAUUGAAGGAAAUUAUUUAAUGGGAAAAUAAAGAAACGUAAAAUCUUCCAUUAGGCUGUGUAUUAUAUAUAUAUAUACUCGAGGAUUCAUUGGGUCAGAGAUUAUUUAGGAUCAGGAUACCUAUGAAUAUUCCACAAGAGUCUUGGAUUAUAUUUAUAUAUAUAAAUUCGUCAUUUAUCUUUAUAAAAUAAAGUAAAAGUUUUUUUUCUCCUAAGGAUAACACAACAAAGAUAUAUACGGUAUUUUCACAUAUGUCACAAGAUAGAUUUUGUAUCCUCUUUCGUGUUUCGAUAUAUCUUCAUAACACAAUACUAAAAAAGAUUUGCAUAUUGAUGGGAUGAACUUAAAGGAUUCUCGGAGAUCGUUAUGCGUAUCGGCUUGGAGAAUCGAAGCAAGGGUGCUCGAAUGAUAUAAGAUUUAUCGAUCAAAGACAAGUCAUACGUUGUGACUAGAUGAUGAAGAAAUAUAGCCAUCCCAAGCCUAGCAAACUCUGCUCCUGCACAUAGUCUUGCACCACCACCAAACGCCAUGAACGUUUUAGAGCCACAAAGCAAUUCCUUCCCCUCCCAUCUCCAUGGAUUAAACUCACAUGGUUGUUCAUAGAUUUGAGGGUCAUAAUGAAGAAGAGAUGGAACAACCAAUACAAUCCAUCCUGCUGGAAUUGUAUACCCUGCAACCACAACACGAUUUUGAAUUAGAUCAUUGGUAACAAACUUAUAGUUAUUUACCAAAGUCUUAAACAUGAAACCUCCCGAGAUACUAUGGGUGCUGGAACAAGAAUGUAUGAAAACAAGAAAGAAAGAAUGUUCAACAGUAGAGGAAGAAGAAGAAGAAGAAGAGACAUGGAGGAGCGAGAUAGUAACAAGGGUGAUGAGAAUCGUGAGCAAGAGAUUGAUCUUUUUUACUCUGCUACCUUGAUGGUCUUGAGGUUCGUGUUUCCUUUGGAAGUAGUCUUUAUCAGAUGACAGCAGAGGGCAAAGUACGUGUUGCUUCUCUUCAAACCGGCGCCUCCUUUUUAUAUUACAUUCACCUCUGCUUUUUCAUUCUAUUAAGCAUAUAAUUGUAUAUAGUUAUUUAGUAUAU
This 23908-nucleotide long non-coding RNA is filed under the name Arabidopsis lyrata. RNAcentral describes it as "long non-coding RNA (ALYR_LNC003352)". Lineage: Eukaryota; Viridiplantae; Streptophyta; Magnoliopsida; Brassicales; Brassicaceae. The record is from RNAcentral.